This 200-nucleotide ribosomal RNA is filed under the name uncultured bacterium. RNAcentral's name for it is "partial 16S ribosomal RNA". It matches the Rfam family "Bacterial small subunit ribosomal RNA", at positions 29 to 260 of the family's 1533-position model. The record is from RNAcentral.
AACGAACGCUGGCGGCAGGCUUAACACAUGCGAGUCGAGCGCCCCGCAAGGGGAGCGGCAGACGGGUGAGUAACGCGUGGGAAUCUACCCAACUCUACGGAAUAACUCAGGGAAACUUGUGCUAAUACCGUAUACGCCCUUCGGGGAAGGAUUAUCGGAGUUGGAUGAGCCCGCGUUGGAUUAGCUAGUUGGUGAGGUAA